This 361-nucleotide ribosomal RNA is filed under the name Ixodes ricinus (castor bean tick). RNAcentral describes it as "partial 16S ribosomal RNA". The stretch from base 66 to 361 matches the Rfam family "Bacterial large subunit ribosomal RNA", at positions 2078 to 2619 of the family's 2925-position model. The record is from RNAcentral. Lineage: Eukaryota; Metazoa; Arthropoda; Arachnida; Ixodida; Ixodidae.
AAAAGCUUUCUUUAAUUGAAUAAUUGAAUUUAAUUUUUUAGUGCAAAAGCAAAAAUAAAAAUUAGGGACAAGAAGACCCUAUGAAUUUUUAUUAAAUUUUAUAAAACUUUAUAUAAAAUUUAAUUUAAUUGGGGUGAUGGAAAAAGAAUAAAUAUCUUUUUUUUUAAAAAAAAUUGGUUCCGUUUUUAGCGAUUAAAUGAAAAAAAUACUCUAGGGAUAACAGCGUAAUAAUUUUGGAUAGUUCAUAUAGAUAAAAUAGUUUGCGACCUCGAUGUUGGAUUAGGAUUCUUUUUUGGUGAAGAAGUUAAAAAAAGAAGUUUGUUCAACUUAUAAUUUCCUACUUGAUCUGAGUUCAGACCGG